Molecule: non-coding RNA, 28 nt
Filed under: Rattus norvegicus (Norway rat)
Lineage: Eukaryota; Metazoa; Chordata; Mammalia; Rodentia; Muridae
Source: RNAcentral
UGAAUUGGUGUUUUGGUUUUUGUGUGCA